AUUGAACGCUGGCGGCAGGCCUAACACAUGCAAGUCGAACGAGUGGCGGACGGGUGAGUAAUGUUUGGGAAUCUGCCUUAUGGAGGGGGAUAACGACGGGAAACUGUCGCUAAUACCGCAUACCAUAGGAUGAGCCCAAGUGGGAUUAGGUAGUGGGUGGGGUAAUGGCCUACCAAGGCGACGAUCUCUAGCUGGUCUGAGAGGAUGACCAGCCACACUGGGACUGAGACACGGCCCAUACUCCUACGGGAGGCAGCAGUGGGGAAUAUUGCGCAAUGGGCGCAACCCUGAUGCAGCCAUGCCGCGUGUAUGAAGAAGGCCUUCGGGUUGUAAAGUUCUUUCAGUGAGGAGGCGUUACUCGCAGAAGAAGCACCGGCUAACUCCGUGCCAGCAGCCGCGGUAAUAC
Molecule: ribosomal RNA, 406 nt
Filed under: uncultured bacterium
Lineage: Bacteria
Description: partial 16S ribosomal RNA
Rfam family: Bacterial small subunit ribosomal RNA
Source: RNAcentral